UCCUGCGGGACCCGACUGCUAUCGGAUUGAGAUUUAGCCAUGCGAGUCGAACGUCCCCCUGUUGCGGGGGGCGUGGCGUACGGCUCAGUAACACGUAGUCAACCUGCCCUGGAGACAAGGACAACCCCGGGAAACUGGGAUUAAUCCUUGAUAGGUCAUCUCAUCUGGAAGGAGAGAUGGCUUAAAGGGGUACGCGGGCUUCUUCCGCGAAUCUGCUCCAGGAUGGGACUGCGUCCGAUCAGGCUGUUGGCGGGGUAAUGGCCCACCAAACCUGUAACCGGUACGGGCCUUGAGAGAGGUGGCCCGGAGAUGGACACUGAGAGAAGGGUCCAGGUCCUACGGGGCGCAGCAGGCGCGAAACCUUCGCAAUGCGCGAAAGCGUGACGAGGUUAAUCCGAGUGACUCCCGCUGAGGGGGUCUUUUGUCAGCUGUAAAUAGGCAGGCGAAUAAGGGGAGGGCAAGCCUGGUGUCAGCCGCCGCGGUAAUACCAGCUCCUCGAGUGGUCGGGGCGAUUAUUGGGCCUAAAGCAUCCGUAGCCGGUUCCGUAGGUCCUCUGUUAAAUCCAACCGCUUAACGGUUGACCUGCAGAGGAUACCGCGGGACUAGGAGGCGGGAGAGGCGGACGGUACUCCGCGUGUAGGGGUAAAAUCCUUUGAUCCGCGGAAGACCACCAGUGGCGAAGGCGGUCCGCCAGAACGCGCUCGACGGUGAGGGAUGAAAGCUGGGGGAGCGAACCGGAUUAGAUACCCGGGUAGUCCCAGCCGUAAACGAUGCUAGCUAGAUGAUUCAUUCGCAAGUCGCGAAUGAAGUGUCGCAGGGAAGCCGUUAAGCUAGCCGCCUGGGGAGUACGGUCGCAAGACUGAAACUUAAAGGAAUUGGCGGGGGAGCA
Molecule: ribosomal RNA, 889 nt
Filed under: uncultured archaeon
Lineage: Archaea
Description: bacterial SSU rRNA
Rfam family: Archaeal small subunit ribosomal RNA
Source: RNAcentral